UCUCCCUCCCGCAAGCACACAGAUCCUCUCUUCUCUCCAUGUAGUCACUACUUGGGGAAGGGGAAUGGGUGGUAUCAGCAAUUCAAGACUGAUUUCUUUUCCAUCUUCAGCGCCCCUUUCCUUGAUAUGAUGUUAAAACCAGAACAAGAAACAGAUCGAGGAAGAGGCAGAGUAACAACAGCCGGGAAGAAGAUACAGUUUUGUCAUUUUGUAGUGAGACUGUGCCCUAUACAUGAACCUAUUUGCCAGACCCAUCAAGUGAAUUCCGUGAUUCUUAUGAAAAAUGCCAUUAGACCUGUGAGAGGGGCUGUGACAGUGGAACCCGAAUGAAGACAGGAAAAGUCUGUAGAGGACUGAUGGUUAUGUUCACCAUUCAAAUUGCAAGAAAACCAAUAAGAAGUCAGUAAAGUGCAUUCAAAGAGAAAGGUGGGACUCGUGAAGCAGCAAUACUAAACUGAUACACAAAGGAUCCCCGUACUUCAUCAAAAUAUCAAUGUUGUCCAUGACACACAAAGAACCCAGCUGUAGUUUAAUUCAGCAUCACAGUCCCAACAUGUUUUAAAACAUGUUCCAGCUUUUGGUCCCAGGAUUAUUCAACCUAGCUCAUAAAAGAAAACAAUAUUGCAUUUCUAAGUAUUGGCUCCUAGAAUUGGCAAGUUUAGUCAAGAAAAGCUGGAAUGCCGUUAAAACAACACCCUGUCAUCUUUCAAUCAGUCCUUAGCUGAAGUUAAAAUCCCACUCAUUCUGCAUGAUCCAGCCUCUGUAGCAUAGAGUGAGUAGCCCCUUAACAAGAACCAAAAUGGAGGGUACGGAUGAGGCUCAGAUCGUCACCACCUGGAGAAUAGAGACAGUGACUGAGUCACCAGGAAAUCUGUCCCCUGCUCAUCCCAGAAUCCCCGAGCUUUGACUUUUUAAGAGAACAUGUGACAGAUAAUGCCAUCUGAGAAGUCCAGCUUAGGCAACUCAGUCAUCAAUGUGUCCUCGAGAAGAGCAUAUCCCCAAAUUGGAAAAUAAUCCUUCAGGGCAUCUGAACAUAACCACAUUUGGCUUACUUUGUGAAGCAGUUGUCUGAAUAGAAUAAGACUGGCUUGGAACGAGAUUCACAGAGCAACCAAAUAAAGAUGAUUGAGUGAAUGGCUAAAGAAAUAAAUAUGUUCGAAUCUGUACCCAUCUCAUGUCUUUCCUGAUGAUUGCCUCCUUUACUGUAUGUUUUCCACUGAGAUGAAGAUUUUGGUCAUUUCCUCAUUCAUGUUCCUGCUUUUCAAAACCCAAGCAAGAAAGGAAACUUCUACAGUGACUUUCUCAUUAUGAAAUCUUAGCAUUCACUAGUCGGCCAUAAUGGAAAACCAGCCAAAUGGACACAUAUACACUGGUCUGUACCCGCAGAGAAAGAAAUGCAAAUCUCUGUGAUCAGAAAACUAUCCUAUCUUGUACAUUGUUAAAAGUCUGCCUCCAAAAAGUUUACUUCUGGAAUACUGUAAUUGAAUAGAAUCAGGGAUCCUACCUGUGUCCUUCAACUUUCACAUCUUGUCUACUCAAGUAAGGGUUGAAUUUGCAUGACUAUAUCUAAGGUUCGAGGGCUUACCUGUUGGCAGUAGACCCAGUAGUCUAUGAAUGGAAAUGGGCAAACCUGUGACCUCCCAAAACUUUAAUAUGAAAGUUUUGUUUGUGUAUACUCAUGGCAUUAUUCUUUUAAUAAAGAGAUAAUCUAUAUAG
RNAcentral lists this long non-coding RNA (1716 nucleotides) under Homo sapiens (human). RNAcentral describes it as "HSALNT0316268". The record is from RNAcentral. Lineage: Eukaryota; Metazoa; Chordata; Mammalia; Primates; Hominidae.